This 906-nucleotide unclassified non-coding RNA is filed under the name Brugia malayi. RNAcentral describes it as "SL-1". Lineage: Eukaryota; Metazoa; Nematoda; Chromadorea; Rhabditida; Onchocercidae. The record is from RNAcentral.
GGUUUAAUUACCCAAGUUUGAGGGAGAAACCAAGUAAAUUUGACCAAAAUGAUUCGUUCAGUGUUAGCUUCAGUGUCGCCACUUCGUCAGAUACUUGCAAGUCAACUUUGCACGUCCUCUAUUACGUUAGCUGGCAUUCGACCUUUGGGUCCAAAAAACAAAGCACCUGAUUUUUCUGGCACAGCAGUUGUAAAUGGAGAUUUUAAAACAAUUAGCAUGAAAGAUUACAAAGGAAAAUGGCUUAUCCUGUUUUUUUAUCCUCUUGACUUUACCUUCGUUUGUCCAACCGAAAUUACUGCCUUUAGCGAUCGAUGUGCGGAGUUUCAGAAAUUAAACACAGAACUGAUUGCAUGUUCGUGCGAUUCACAUUUCUCACAUCUAGCAUGGAUUCAAACCCCACGUAGUGAAGUGGGUGGUCUCGGUGACAUGAAGAUUCCAGUGCUUGCAGACUUUAAUAAAGAUAUAGCGAAUGCAUUCGGUGUCCUUGAUCAUGAAACAGGUAUCUCAUAUAGAGGUUUGUUCUUAAUCGAUCCAAGUGGUGAAAUCCGUCAUUCUCUCGUGAAUGAUCUUUCGGUUGGUCGUAGUGUGGAUGAAGCAUUUCGUACGCUAAAAGCCUUUCAGUUUGUGGAGAAACAUGGUGAAGUAUGUCCGGCAAACUGGUCCGAUGAUAAGCCAACAAUUAAGCCCGGCAUCAAGGAGUCCAAGGAGUAUUUCAAAAAGGUCGAUGGUCAUACAUAAAAAAUCCAGUAGCACCUAAAAAUGAUUUAUUUGGACGACGUGAGUUCUUUUUUUUUUUUUUGAAUAACAGAGUUUUUUGUUUCUGUUUAUGUUAAGGUUAUAAUUUAGUUGCUUUCUGUAGUUAAUGUAUGCGAUUUACUCUAAAUAAUAAAUAUCUGAGAAGCCCCA